This 121-nucleotide ribosomal RNA is filed under the name Canis lupus familiaris (dog). The record is from RNAcentral. Lineage: Eukaryota; Metazoa; Chordata; Mammalia; Carnivora; Canidae. RNAcentral also lists the same sequence under 1 other name.
GUCUAUGGUCAUACCACCCUGAAAGUGUUUGACCUCGUCUGAUCUCAGAAGCUAAGCAGGGUCAGGCCUGGUUAGUACUUGGAUGGGACAGAAGUUGAAAAAAACCCAUGUUUGGGGGGAA